This 1199-nucleotide long non-coding RNA is filed under the name Brachypodium distachyon (stiff brome). RNAcentral describes it as "long non-coding RNA (BDIS_LNC004786)". The record is from RNAcentral. Lineage: Eukaryota; Viridiplantae; Streptophyta; Magnoliopsida; Poales; Poaceae.
CGACUAUACCAAUAUAUUUUUUGAGGGGCAUAAUAUACCAAUACUCACCUACUCAUUGCAGGAACUGACAUAAUUUUCUCACUCAUAACACUCAUCGUAUAUACGUGACGGUGACCCACUUUUAUUGGCCCAACUGAAGACGACAAACUAAAGCUCGUCAAAAUAUUGACGUACGGACUAAUAAGAAAACAAAUAUCUGCAACGAAAGCUUUGGUAUGAAGCGUCAAAUCGUCUGUCAGCGGUACUUGAUCCUAUAAUUACGUGUACCCGGAUACCAUCAUCAAUCUUAUGAGUAUACGCCGACUAGCAUGUAGUACAAUUCAAUUGAUCGAUGGAGAGGCGUGCACGGCCGAUACACCCAACAGAGCAGGAAUUAAUUGUCUGAAUUGCUUGCCAUUUCAGUCAAUCUGAUGGGGAAUGUAAGCUAGAAACUGUGUGCUAGCUAGUUGCUAACCUCUCGCGAGUACAAGUGCAGCACUCUGCGCUCUCUGCAUAUAUGUUGUUGGUUCUCUUCUCUUCUCAGUCAUGUCAUCAACCAGUACAAGUUUUUUUUUUUUGAAAGGAGGAUGAACCCCGGUGUCUACGCAGACAGUCACAUUUUAUUGAUUUAUUAGGAACACUGACAAAACUCGAUCAAACAAGUCAAAUGCAUCAAACUAUGCCUACAAGCCUAAUGAAAGGGGGGUCAUUAUCGGAGCCGCAUGUCCUGACCGCAAACCACCGCCUAACAUCUAAUUCGGAGACCACGAAAACACAACCGGUCUAGCAAAUCCUUCUCGUGUGCCGUCUGCUCACGCUCCAGAAUUAGCCGUCGUCGUCUUCCACCAACCAAUCUUCAGGUGAAUGAUCGAAGCAUUACAACAUGUUAGGCUUGGCAUUGAUGAAAAGGACCAGACCCCACCAUGCAGCACGUGUUCCAAAACGAUGCCCUGGAGAGGGAAAACGACACUGAAAGUGUCACCAUCGUCCGAUUCAGGACACCAAGAUCUAGGGUUUUCUCCUGAACAUCUGGGCGGGAAGCGGGAGAAUCACAAUGAUGACACCUUCAUAAGGACGCAUGCGGACGCAGCCGUCGUCAGCCCCGAUCGAAGUGGAGCCUCACCUCUAGAUUAGCACGAGGACAGGAGAGCAGCCGGAGUACGCUCGAGACGCACCACCGGACUUUGCAAGGUACCUGCAGGUAUACGUGUACAACAGCA